Daphnia pulicaria is the source of this 1028-nucleotide long non-coding RNA. RefSeq lists it as uncharacterized. The record is from RefSeq and is a predicted model, not a curated record. The transcript has 2 exons. NCBI's taxonomy places the organism in Eukaryota, Metazoa, Arthropoda, Branchiopoda, Diplostraca, Daphniidae.
UCUCUUUUUUAGGUUUUUUUUUUUUGGGGGGGGGGGGGGGCUUUGGGUUUUCGUGUUUGUUCAUUUUGUUCUUUCUCUCUCGUGUCCGACAUUGACGGACCGGAUCGUGUGGACGUCAAAAGUUUUGGGUUUUUUUUUUUCAGAAGGAGCUGGGCAAAAAAGGUUCGAUAGGAGCCGGCCAGACAAAACCGGACAAAUGAAUCACAUUCCUUGCUCGCAUUUCGACCCGAUCGGCAUUUGUUUUCUUUUUCAACCUCCUCAACUCCCUAACGGUUUCCACGGAUGCGAUUGAUGGAUGGGCCGGCUAAAGGGGAACGGACGGACGGACACAAGCGGCGCCGCAGCACCAAACUAUUUGGUAACUGCAUAGUUUUGAAUAAAUCAUAAAAAUACAGUCGGAGCAAAACGCGACGGACGGGAAAUCUACACAAGGAAAAAACAUUUCCCGAAAUGUUUUCAACAACUCAAUCGAUGCAACAAGGAAAAUCACAAAAAUUUGCUGGAAAUGGACGGACUUUAGACUUUAGGAGGGGGAGCCGGACUGGCAUCAAACGUUUCGAUGUAGUCCAAAAAAACCGGAAAAAAGAAUUUGAUAAACUAGUCGAACGUCAUCCCGUUUCAAAGGUCACAUUAUCUCUGGUUACCACCUCCCCUCGGCUAAUGAGUGAGUCAUCCACAGUCGUGAGGAGGAGGGGAAAUCCGAAAUUAAAAAUAAAAAUACAAACACGCCCUUUACAUUCAUCGUAGCUCUAGCAGACGAAAUUAAUCAAAUAUGCAAGGCCCAUCCAACCAUGUGUGACGUUCGGCCCAAUUGGCCAUUCGAAUUCCCCAAAUUGGGUUUUAAAAAAAAGACCAAAAAAUUGUGACAACAAUUUUGUUAGCCAAAAAACCCAAACCAGUUUCUGGUUAACAACGACAACUUGCGUCUAUACCACCACCAGUUAACCAAAAGUCAAUCGAAAUUCAAAAAUGUGGGUCCCCACAGAUAUACUCACACGUCAAUUUGCCCGGUUGAAACAACAGAAAAA